RNAcentral lists this long non-coding RNA (254 nucleotides) under Elaeis guineensis (African oil palm). Its description in RNAcentral is "long non-coding RNA (EGUI_LNC003488)". Lineage: Eukaryota; Viridiplantae; Streptophyta; Magnoliopsida; Arecales; Arecaceae. The record is from RNAcentral.
AAGUCAUUUGUUGCUGAUCGAUAGUAGCCGAUUAUCUGUCGGUUGACUGAUUGUGAGUCGGCAUAAUGUACUCAAUCGGCCGACGUAAAGUCGAAGUCGGAGUUGGUUAAUUUGAGUCGGGGGUUGAUUGACUUGCCCCAACAGUUGCCCUCCAUUCUCAAGUCCCAGGUGAUCCGACGUGUGUAUUACCACGUGAUUUGUCACAUUGGACGAAGGGAGUCAUCUCAUGUCAUAUCGAAUCCUGAUUUGGCUGC